GACGAACGCUGGCGGCGCGCUUAACACAUGCAAGUCGAACGGAAAGGGAUGGCUUUUGUCUUCUACUCGUGUUGCUGACGGACGGGUAAGUAACGCGUAACCUACCCUCGCUUCUGGGGUAGCUUCCAGUAACAAAGGCUUGUACCUGAUACAUACUCCUUCUUCACGGUAUCGGGUGGAAAUGUUCGGCGGCUGGGGCGAGACUGGGGGCAUAUCAGCUUGGUGGUGGGUUAGUGGAGUACCAAGGCGUUGAAGGGUAGCCGGACUGCGAGGGUGACCGGCAACAUUGGGACUGAGAUACGGCCCAGAAUCCUACGGGAGGCAGAAGUGGGGAAUAUUGCACAAUGGGCGGAAGCCUGAUGCAGCAACGCCGCGUGCGGGAUGACGGCCUUCGGGUUGUAAACCGCUUUCGCCUGUGACGAAGCGUGAGUGACGGUAAUGGGUAAAGAAGCACCGGCUAACUACGUG
This 468-nucleotide ribosomal RNA is filed under the name uncultured bacterium. RNAcentral's name for it is "partial 16S ribosomal RNA". It matches the Rfam family "Bacterial small subunit ribosomal RNA", at positions 28 to 507 of the family's 1533-position model. The record is from RNAcentral.